AGAGUUUGAUCAUGGCUCAGAUUGAACGCUGGCGGCAGGCCUAACACAUGCAAGUCGAACGGUAACAGGAAGAAGCUUGCUUCUUUGCUGACGAGUGGCGGACGGGUGAGUAAUGUCUGGGAAACUGCCUGAUGGAGGGGGAUAACUACUGGAAACGGUAGCUAAUACCGCAUAACGUCGCAAGACCAAAGAGGGGGACCUUCGGGCCUCUUGCCAUCGGAUGUGCCCAGAUGGGAUUAGCUUGUUGGUGGGGUAACGGCUCACCAAGGCGACGAUCCCUAGCUGGUCUGAGAGGAUGACCAGCCACACUGGAACUGAGACACGGUCCAGACUCCUACGGGAGGCAGCAGUGGGGAAUAUUGCACAAUGGGCGCAAGCCUGAUGCAGCCAUGCCGCGUGUAUGAAGAAGGCCUUCGGGUUGUAAAGUACUUUCAGCGGGGAGGAAGGGAGUAAAGUUAAUACCUUUGCUCAUUGACGUUACCCGCAGAAGAAGCACUGGCUAACUCCGUGCCAGCAGCCGCGGUAAUACGGAGGGUGCAAGCGUUAAUCGGAAUUACUGGGCGUAAAGCGCACGCAGGCGGUUUGUUAAGUCAGAUGUGAAAUCCCCGGGCUCAACCUGGGAACUGCAUCUGAUACUGGCAAGCUUGAGUCUCGUAGAGGGGGGUAGAAUUCCAGGUGUAGCGGUGAAAUGCGUAGAGAUCUGGAGGAAUACCGGUGGCGAAGGCGGCCCCCUGGACGAAGACUGACGCUCAGGUGCGAAAGCGUGGGGAGCAACAGGAUUAGAUACCCUGGUAGUCCACGCCGUAAACGAUGUCGACUUGGAGGUUGUGCCCUUGAGGCGUGGCUUCCGGAGCUAACGCGUUAAGUCGACCGCCUGGGGAGUACGGCCGCAAGGUUAAAACUCAAAUGAAUUGACGGGGCCCGCACAAGCGGUGGAGCAUGUGGUUUAAUUCGAUGCAACGCGAAGAACCUUACCUGGUCUUGACAUCCACAGAACUUUCCAGAGAUGGAUUGGUGCCUUCGGGAACUGUGAGACAGGUGCUGCAUGGCUGUCGUCAGCUCGUGUUGUGAAAUGUUAGGGUUAAGUCCCGCAACGAGCGCAACCCUUAUCCUUGUUGCCAGCGGUCCGGCCGGGAACUCAAAGGAGACUGCCAGUGAUAAACUGGAGGAAGGUGGGGAUGACGUCAAGUCAUCAUGGCCCUUACGACCAGGGCUACACACGUGCUACAAUGGCGCAUACAAAGAGAAGCGACCUCGCGAGAGCAAAGCGGACCUCAUAAAGUGCGUCGUAGUCCGGAUUGGAGUCUGCAACUCGACUCCAUGAAGUCGGAAUCGCUAGUAAUCGUGGAUCAGAAUGCCACGGUGAAUACGUUCCCGGGCCUUGUACACACCGCCCGUCACACCAUGGGAGUGGGUUGCAAAAGAAGUAGGUAGCUUAACCUUCGGGAGGGCGCUUACCACUUUGUGAUUCAUGACUGGGGUGAAGUCGUAACAAGGUAACCGUAGGGGAACCUGCGGUUGGAUCACCU
RNAcentral lists this ribosomal RNA (1529 nucleotides) under Escherichia coli DEC11D. Its description in RNAcentral is "bacterial SSU rRNA". It matches the Rfam family "Bacterial small subunit ribosomal RNA". Lineage: Bacteria; Pseudomonadati; Pseudomonadota; Gammaproteobacteria; Enterobacterales; Enterobacteriaceae. The record is from RNAcentral.